GGGGGUAUAGCUCAGUGGUACAGCAUGCGCUUGGUGUGUGUGAGAUCCUGGGUUCAAUCCCCAGUGCCUCUG
Transfer RNA from Camelus ferus (Wild Bactrian camel), 72 nucleotides. It matches the Rfam family "tRNA". Rfam says of the family: Transfer RNA (tRNA) molecules are approximately 80 nucleotides in length. Their secondary structure includes four short double-helical elements and three loops (D, anti-codon, and T loops). Further hydrogen bonds mediate the characteristic L-shaped molecular structure. tRNAs have two regions of fundamental functional importance: the anti-codon, which is responsible for specific mRNA codon recognition, and the 3' end, to which the tRNAs corresponding amino acid is attached (by aminoacyl-tRNA synthetases). tRNAs cope with the degeneracy of the genetic code in two manners: having more than one tRNA (with a specific anti-codon) for a particular amino acid; and 'wobble' base-pairing, i.e. permitting non-standard base-pairing at the 3rd anti-codon position. The record is from Rfam. NCBI's taxonomy places the organism in Eukaryota, Metazoa, Chordata, Mammalia, Artiodactyla, Camelidae.